AUCAACAAGGGAUCUUGUUAAAAUGCAGAUUCUGAAUGAGUGAGUCUGACAUGAGGUCGGAGAUUCUGCAUUUUUAACAAGCUCCCACGUGAGGUCUA
RNAcentral lists this microRNA precursor (98 nucleotides) under Pteropus alecto (black flying fox). RNAcentral's name for it is "mir-544 microRNA precursor family". It matches the Rfam family "mir-544 microRNA precursor family". Lineage: Eukaryota; Metazoa; Chordata; Mammalia; Chiroptera; Pteropodidae. The record is from Rfam by way of RNAcentral.